AAAGCUUGGUCCUGACUUUACCGUCAGCUUUAACCUGAUUUACACAUGCAAGUAUCCGCACCCCUGUGAGAAUGCCCUCAUUCCCCCGCCCGGGGACGAGGAGCUGGCAUCAGGCACGCUCAAGCUGCCCAAGACGCCUUGCUUUGCCACACCCCCAAGGGAACUCAGCAGUGAUAAACAUUAGGCAUAUAAGUGCAAACUUGACCUAGUCAAGGGUAAUAGAGCCGGUUAAACUCGUGCCACCACCGCGGUAUACCAAAAGCUCUAUUUGACGAACUACGC
Molecule: ribosomal RNA, 282 nt
Filed under: Chanos chanos (milkfish)
Lineage: Eukaryota; Metazoa; Chordata; Actinopteri; Gonorynchiformes; Chanidae
Description: partial 12S ribosomal RNA
Source: RNAcentral